GGCCGGAUCUUUGGGYCAAUUGCGUGUAGCGCUUGUUAGCCGGGUAGGGUUAGAAAUUGGUUCAAUGUUGUGAUAAAUUAAUCGUCGGUUUUUAUAUCUGUUUAAUGUUUUAGUUUUCUGUUUAUUUGUGGGGCGUUAAGGUCCUAUGGAGGUAUAUAUGCUUAUUAUUGAGUUUAUUAUGAGAGGGUUAAAGUUCCCCCUUUGUUGAAAGUUUGUUAAAAAAUUUAAUGAUCUGUCUUGGGCAUUAUGUUUAAUUAGCGUUUAAAUCUUAUAUUUUGUUUUAUGUAUGACUUAAUAAGUAAUGRGAAUAAUGUCAUUAUUUCUCGAGCUUAGCCCGUCUGUUUAUCAAAAACAUUUCCAUUUAUCAUAUUUGAUGGUAGGACCUGCUCUAUGUGUUUAUAAAUGGCCGCGGUAUUUUGACCGUGCGAAGGUAGCAUAAUUAAUUGCCUCUUAAUUGGGGGCUUGUUUGAAUGGUUUGACGAGGUUAAUUGCAAAUUUUGGUGUUUUCAUUGAAAUUAAUUUUGGGGGCACGGAAUCCCCUAGGUUUAAUUAGACGGAAAGACCCCGGGAUCUUUCUUUUUUGCUUGGGGCAAGUUAGAUGGUUUUAUAUUUAUURYGAACCUUUUAGGUUUAAUGGUUUAAGUUACCCCGGGGAUAACAGGGUAAUAGUUUAUAAGAGGUCUUAUUGAAUAAACUGCUUGCCACCUCGAUGUUGACUUAGGUUUAUGCUCCGGCGCAGUCGUCGGAGCGGGAUGGUCUGUUCGACCUUUAUUACCU
RNAcentral lists this ribosomal RNA (777 nucleotides) under Philobythoides sp. PBI_007. RNAcentral describes it as "partial 16S ribosomal RNA". The stretch from base 522 to 777 matches the Rfam family "Bacterial large subunit ribosomal RNA", at positions 2047 to 2597 of the family's 2925-position model. Lineage: Eukaryota; Metazoa; Platyhelminthes; Cestoda; Bothriocephalidea; Triaenophoridae. The record is from RNAcentral.